Molecule: small nucleolar RNA, 106 nt
Organism: Telopea speciosissima
Lineage: Eukaryota; Viridiplantae; Streptophyta; Magnoliopsida; Proteales; Proteaceae
Source: RefSeq, a predicted model, not a curated record
ACGGCAUGAUGGGGGCAUUUAUGAAUUAAAUCCUUAAGUCUUUCCCACGUUUCAUGAAGUUGCUCACCAUCAAUUUGAGAGAAACUGGUGAUGGCUCGCCGAAUUU